UACGUAGGUCUCGAGCGUUGUCCGGAUUUAUUGGGCGUAAAGCGAGCGCAGGUGGUUUAUUAAGUCUGGUGUAAAAGGCAGUGGCUCAACCAUUGUAUGCAUUGGAAACUGGUAGACUUGAGUGCAGGAGAGGAGAGUGGUAUUCCAUGUGUAGCGGUGAAAUGCGUAGAUAUAUGGAGGAACACCGGUGGCGAAAGCGGCUCUCUGGCCUGUAACUGACACUGAGGCUCGAAAGCGUGGGGAGCAAACAGG
Molecule: ribosomal RNA, 252 nt
Filed under: uncultured bacterium
Lineage: Bacteria
Description: partial 16S ribosomal RNA
Rfam family: Bacterial small subunit ribosomal RNA
Source: RNAcentral